RNAcentral lists this long non-coding RNA (921 nucleotides) under Setaria italica (foxtail millet). RNAcentral's name for it is "long non-coding RNA (SITA_LNC000627)". Lineage: Eukaryota; Viridiplantae; Streptophyta; Magnoliopsida; Poales; Poaceae. The record is from RNAcentral.
UAAAAUUUUAGUUGUGCACUUUUACCUUAUUUUUUUAGCUCUGGGAAUCCAAACAGGUGGGCUAAAGAGAGCAAAUAGCUAAAAUUUAGAUAAAAAAUGUUGCUCCCAAAGAGGUCCUAAGAGGAGCUAAAAGUGCUCCCGGAUGCCAUUAUUCCCCUGUUCCCCCUCCCCGCACUCCUCUCUCUCCUCCCCGCGUCACCCCUGCUGCCCCGCCACCUCCAGCCCGCUCUGCUACGCCGCCGUCGCGCUCCUGCCGCCCGUGCCCUCGCCGCUCCCAUCCGACGGAGCAAUCGGCGCCGGCUAGCCCGGACCAGCUCAGCCCCGCCGUGAGGUGACCGGUGGACUGCGAGAGGGAGAGCGCCUCCGCCUCAGAUCCACCGAACAAGUCUCUGAGCCCAAUCUCCCCCCACCCAUGCGCCCGCCGACGAUGCUCCGCUGGGCCACGGUGGCGCUCGUGGCGACGCUCCUCGCCGCCACGCCGGCCACCGCCUUCUACCUCCGCGGCGGAUCUCGACAGCCAGAUCCAGCGUGCCGCGUGCGUUUGUUCGUUGGGAGCUGCCUGUGUCUAUCGAGUUAAUUGCAAUAAGGGUUCGGGAUCUAGACAUGCAUCCUGCUGGCUGUUUUGCUUCUGUGUGGAGUAGUGUGAUCUUACGAAUUGCAUUUGGCUAGGUCCCUUGUUUCAAAUCUCUCUGUGUUGAAGAAAAAUGAAUAUCCUCUGAUCUAAGCGGCGACGAUAAAUGCUCUAUAGUGCGCCUUACGUUUGAUUAACGUUUGUCUAAUCGAAUAUGUGCUGUGAGUAUGCUACAGUAUACCCUCUUACAUUCAAAAUAUUCCGUUAUUUAUGUUUUUGUCCACUUGGUUCCGGAAGGCGAUUAUAUGAAAUCAUAUAGUAUAUGGAGUGCACGUGCACAUGCAUGGGGG